Molecule: ribosomal RNA, 253 nt
Filed under: uncultured bacterium
Lineage: Bacteria
Description: partial 16S ribosomal RNA
Rfam family: Bacterial small subunit ribosomal RNA
Source: RNAcentral
UACGAAGGGGGCUAGCGUUGCUCGGAAUCACUGGGCGUAAAGGAUGCGUAGGCGGACAUUUAAGUCAGAUGUGAAAUACCCGAGCUUAACUUGGGUGCUGCAUUUGAAACUGGGUGUCUAGAGUGCAGGAGAGGUAAGUGGAAUUCCUAGUGUAGCGGUGAAAUGCGUAGAGAUUAGGAAGAACACCAGUGGCGAAGGCGACUUACUGGACUGUAACUGACGCUGAGGUGCGAAAGCGUGGGGAGCAAACAGG